This 440-nucleotide long non-coding RNA is filed under the name Nicotiana benthamiana. RNAcentral describes it as "long non-coding RNA (NBEN_LNC034851)". The record is from RNAcentral. Lineage: Eukaryota; Viridiplantae; Streptophyta; Magnoliopsida; Solanales; Solanaceae.
CUCAUACCCAAUAUCCCCAUUCCACUUAAAUUCAUGCUUAACAGCAUAUUGAGAUUGUUCUUCUAUGUACCUCAUUGUCAUAGGAGAUACAUCAGAAAUCCACCUUGUUGCAAAUUCUCUCAUUCCAGUCAUCCUCUCAAUCACCUUCACUCUAAUCUCUUCAAACAAGGUUAUGAUAGACUUGUGCCAAGCUGACAAUAUCCAACUGUUAAAGGUCUCACAUAUUGUUGUUCUCCACUGCAUCACAUUUACUCCAAUCUUUGAAGAAUGCUCUACACCAGGACUGUUUUGGGUGUUUCAGCAAGUCCUCAACUAUCUUACUGUCACCUAAUUCAACCAGCUCAUCUAACUUAGCCUUCAAAUAUGCUUCAAAUGAAGCCCUUGCACAUGCCCAAAAUUUCUUCCUUCUUUCCUCUCCUUUCCACUUUUGUUUCCAGUUG